AACAAGGGAAAAUACUGAAGGGCUAUACUUAUUACAGAAAGAUAGAAAGGGACUCCUCGGUCUGCGGACACGGCAGAUAUACCUCGAAGUCUCUACAGAAACAUCUCCUCCCAAGGAUGAUAGAACUGAGUGGAAGUACCUGGAUCUGCAACAAAAAUGUGCAGAAGAGUAGCAUGAGCACACCAUAGCGGUGCCCAGUAAGUAUCAAGACUAACCUCGAUGGAGUAGUAACAAGGAACAGUCAAGACACCUACCGGUCUAAUAAAAUAGCACAAAUAUAGGAACAACGGGACAUGAUAUAUAUAUAUAAAGGCUACACGAAAUGGCUAAUAAUACUACAAGCACAAUAAGGGAAGAAAACAGCAAGUAACAACAAAAAUACUAAGAAUAAUGACACAUAAAAGCGAGCAAAAACACAACCCAAAUCCUAAAGUCACAAUACAGUAAAGGAAAACAAUAACUCAGAUCCUACGAUAGUGUUCACAUCAGGUCUUAUCCAACAAUUUCCAUGAAAUACCGAAUCUCGGAUAAAUUACAACUCACGAGUCCCAGUACCUGAAAUCUAACACCUAGCAUCCUGUGCCCCUAUUAGCCUCACGGUCAUACUGACAACUCACUUGCUAACUAGGGCCACUCUGACAUAUAUAAUAAGUAAACGAGGGUGUACAUCUAUACUUAGCAAAAUCAGGAGGACUUUAAAUCCAAUUGGAGUGUGCAACUACGUGUCUGCUUGUGCAACUGCUUUAACAAGAUUCCUACCAGCUAAUAAACGUAAGAAGAAGAACGGGCAGCACGUACGAUGUUUCCUCACAACUUCCACGAGAUAAAUCUCAUCAGGUAAGCGAACCACAAUCACAAUAUUAAACAAAAUAGGAAUGCCCCAGGCCAUCACAAAUUCUCACAAUCAACACCUGACAUAGCCCACCUUGUCCCGCCACGUGUGCAAAUAAUAACAUAAUAAGUGCCCGCCUUGUUUCGCCACAUGUGCAUCAUAAUGUUUCCACCUUGUCUCGCCACAUGCGCAACCCACAUAUAUGCAUAUAAACAUAUCCCGCCUUGUCACGCCACAUGUGUAAUAUAUCAAUAGUAACAAUAGCAUGGCAAAGACCUCGUGCAACCCCUCAACAACAACCGCAUGAUAGAGACCUCGUGCGCAACACAACCACAACCGCACGGCAGAGACCUCGUGUACCAACACAACAACAAUUGCACGAUGGAGACCUCAUGCACCAACACAACAACAGUGAUAGUAAUACAAACUAUAGCGAGUGAAUCCACUCCAAAAUUUCAAAUCACAAGGAAUCGGUAUAGCAAGUUCACAAGAAUAGCUAUAGUAAGAUAAAUGAAAGGCGUAAAGGGAACAGUUCAACGAAAAGGGAAAUUAACAUGUAGUGACAAUCCCAAAUAAACAAUUCACUACAAGGAAGACAACAUGAGUCUAGUAGUCCCAAAUAAAGGCAAGUCGACAAAGAUAUAGGUCAUCUAAACUCCGUUUAAGGUUGGGAAGUUACGAGAAUAUUCGAUAAUUUCAAUUAAGGGAAGGUGAUCUUAGCUGCACUUAAGACUAGGCGAUUAUAGGAGGGAUGACAAUAGCUCUUAGCAACACAGGCAGUUAUGAAAAGGUAGCAUAAUGAUAAAAGAGACGCAGUUCUUCAGUUAAAUCAAACAGGAUGAUAAUUAGGCAAUAAGAGUAAAUCAUGAAGCAAACAAUUCCAACUAAGCAUGUAGAGAUGAAACUAAUAAGCAGGAACUCAGUCAUAUCAAGAAUAACUCCAUACAUAGCGAACAUAAGAACCUAAGAACCCUAAAAGGCCAACUAUCCACAAUUAAGUCCGAGUAGGCAUUCGUCACCUCGCGUACACGGAUUACAAUCAACAUAGAAGACUCAAUCCUACGGGGAAGUCCCCCACACAAGGUUAGAAAAGAUACUUACCUCAAAGACGACAACUCGGUACUCUAAAAUGGACUUCUCCGGCGAAAAGACCUCCGGACAUCUCAAAUCCAACUAUAACAACUCCAAAACAGACAUACAUCGAAUAAGGAACUAUUUCGAAUAAUAAAGUUUCAAUCUUUACAAAAAUACACAAAUCGACCCAAAAGUCAACCCUCGGGCCCACACUUCGGAACCCUUCAAAUUUUACAAAAUCCGAUCACCCAUUCCAAAAUGAGUUCAACCAUAUAAAAUUUAUCCAAUUCCGAUACCAUUUGGUCCCUCAAAUCAUGAUUUUUCAUUUUGAAAAUUUUCUUCAAAAACCAACUCUUUUCCCAACCAAAAACAUAAUUUAAAUGAUAAAAAUAACGACAAAUUCAUGAAAUAUAUUUAAUUCUAGCUUACCCAAUCGAAUUUCAUGAAAAACCCACCAAAUAUCGCCAAGAACCGAGCUUUAGAAAUCAAAAUAUGAUGAAAACGGUGAAACCCUCGAUUUUGGAAUAUAUUCUGUCUGCCCAGAUGUUUGUUCAUUGCGAUCGCGAGAGAAGUGAUGCGAUCGCGUAGAAGACAAAAGCUACUGGCCCAAAAUGUUCUAUGCUAUCGCGGGCAAAUCAAUGCAAUCGCAUAAAAGGAAAAUGCUGAUAUCCAAAUUUGUGCUAUGCUAUCGCGAACAAAUCAGUGCAAUCGCAUAGAAGGAAAAUGUUGUUGUCCAAAUUUGUGUUAUGCUAUUGCGGACAAAUCAAUGCAAUCUCGGACAAAUUAAUGCAAUCGCAUAGAAGGAAAAUAUUGCUGUCCAAAUUUGUGCUAUGCUAUCGCGGACAAAUCAACGGAAUCGCAUAGAAGGAAAAUACUGUUGUCCAAAUUUGUGCUAUGCGAUCUCGAACGAAUCAACGCGAUCGCAUAGAAGGAAAAUAUGGCAGGUUAACAUUGUACUACGCGAUCGUGGCUACGCCUAUGCGAUCGCAUAGAAGGAAAUACCAGAUAGCAGAACAACAGUUAAAACAUAGGGAAAAAUAACUCGUAGCCCAUCCGAAACACACUCGAGGCUCCCGGGACCCCGUCUAAUCACACAAACAAGUCACAUAACCUAACACGCACUCGCUCGAGGUCUCAAUUCACAUCAAACAACGCUGAAAUGACGAAUCACACCAUGAAUCGAACUAUGAACUUCCAAAUCUUCCAAAUUUAAAAACUUGUGUCGAAACCGAUCAAAUCAAUCCAAAAUGACACCAAAUUUUGCAGACAAGUCCAAAUUGACAUAAUAGAGCUGCUCCAACUCUCGGAAUCACAUUCCGACUCCAAUACCACAAAAGUAAACUAUGAGUCAAACUUCUCCAUUUUCCAAACUUCAACUUUUCCAACUUUUGCUGAAAUGCCUCAAUUUACCCACGGACCUCCAAAUCUGAAUCCGGACGCGCACCUAAGUCAAAAAUCACCAUACGAAGCUGUUGGAAUCAUCAAAAUUUAUUCCGGGGCCGUUUACUCAAAAGUUCAAUUCCGGUCAAAUCCUCACCGUUCAAACUUGCAAAACUAGAUUCUUUCUUCCAAUUUGACUCUGAAUCAUCCAUUAACUAAAUUCAACCAUGCACGCAAGUCGAUACUCAUAUUGUGAAGCUGUUCAAGACCGUGCACCGCCGAACAAAGCUUAGAUUCUCAAAACGACUGGCCGGGUCGUUACAUCCGGCCAAUCACUUUCCAUCAAUCAAAGACAAUCUUCAUCAUGGAUCUCGGCUUCAACAAUGAUCCAAAAAGAAGGAAUCUCAUUUUCGUUCCAAUUCUUUGUUUAUUUUCUUACAAGCCUUACUUCAUCACAUUAUGUUUUUUGGUUCAUUAUUUUUAAAUCUAACAAUGUUUUAGGAUCUGGGCAUAAAGUCUGCAAGCAUGUCAUGUUAUUAAAAUCUGCAUUUACAUAACUGAAAAGAGAAUAAAAAAUGUGACAAGAUUAAGAAAUGAGACAUUCAUUGUCACACCUCUUUUUUCCCGAAAGGAUAGGAAAUUUUUCCAAUUAAAGUGACAUUAAUCAAAAUGAGAUUAUUUAUUCAAUUUCAGAGUCGCCACUUGGAAUAAUUUUAUGGUGUCCCAAGUCACCGGUUUAUUUUAAAUCCCAAAUCGAGGAAAUAUGACUCUGUUUUAAAGUCUGCGAAGCCAGAAGACCGGGUAAGGAAUUCUGUUAACCCGGGAAAAGGUGUUAGGCAUUCCCGAAUUCCGUGAUUUUAGCAUGGUCGCUUUAAUCAUACCUGACUUAGUUAAUUGUUAAUUACACAUUUUAAAACCUAUAUGCAUUUUACCUUUUACCGCUUUUAAAUUAUUUGAUUAUGACAUUAUGGGAUUAUCUUGAAACGAGUUACGCAUACAUUUGCUCGUUUUGUUUGGUGUGUCAAAGUCAUUUCACGCGUACGUGUACACAACUAAUAACACUUUAUUAUUAUUAAAAUUAUUUUGUCAAAGUCACGUGAACGCAUACUUUGCCUUUAAUUUGGGAAAUCAUAAAUAUGUCACGCGAACAUGUACAUAAUUAUAAUAAUUGAUUAAUUAAUACGCGCCUAAAGCAUACUAGUGAUUUAUGAGUUAUUUUUCCUAAACUAAUUUGAGAUUUAUUGUAAAGUUGGAAUUAUCCAAUUCAACUAAGUGAUUAAUGGCCUUAUAACGAUGAAAAAUCCAAUAAGUAUCUACAUCCCCGUCAAGUUCAUACUUUAACGAAAAUUCGGCAAGUAAAGAUACAAAUAUAGCUAAAAAAAAUUUACGUUUAAAGUAAAUACAUUUAAAGCUAAACAAACAGAAUGUAUGAAAUAUUUGCUCAAAAGCAUGAUAUGGCCUCUUGUGAUUAUUACUAGACUACCUUAGCAGGAAUUAGAACAGUACAAUAUAAUUAAAUUCAAAAACCUACUCAAUAUUAAAAAAAAUAAAAUAAUAACGAACCUUCAUCCCAAGUUAAACCUCAUAUGGUCCUACUCUCUUCAUAUCCAUCCAUUAUACAUCAAUGGAUUUAUUUUACUAAUAAAAGAGAAAAAUCACGGAUAUGGUAUUGCACAUAAAUUAAUUAUAUGACUUAUAUUCCUAGUUAAACUAAGAAAGACAGUGAAUUCAAAAGAUAUUUAAAGUUAUACAUAUAAAGAAAUGUUAUCAAAACUUUCACAAAGAGACAUAAAUUACUCAUAAACUAAAGAAAUGACUAAACUUAAUUGCCGAUACUUUAUUUUAAAUUAAGGAUAAACAUCAAUGAGAAACACUUGGAAAAAAACAAACUUUAAUCCUAACACAAAGAAGACAGAGACUUGGUUAAACUAAAAUAAACUAAGACUAUACCUUCAAUCACACAAAGUAAUGUAGAGUAAAUAACCCAAGCAUUCAAAAACCAAAACUAAUUGAAGAAACAAACCUUUAGGCGAAAAUUUCCUUGAAAAUUAAUCCAGCAAAAUACAAAAAUCAGGUACAGUAGAAACAACACUUGAACUUCAACAGAGAACCACAACCGGAACUUCGAACAGCAAAAGAGUGACGAUUUGUGUCCGAAUCCAUCAACUGAGCUCCAUUUCUUUGCUAUGUAUUGUCUUUAUUGAAAGAUCAAAGUAAAGGAAAAGCACCUCUAAUAUUUUAUAUUUUUUUUUAUAAGAGUCUAAACCUUUAAGAUUUUGAGUAAAAAGAUCCAAGACAAUUUGUAUCGAUAACUCUAAAAGAACCCCUCUCGGCAGACUUCCAAAACUCCCUC
Molecule: long non-coding RNA, 5639 nt
Filed under: Nicotiana tabacum (common tobacco)
Lineage: Eukaryota; Viridiplantae; Streptophyta; Magnoliopsida; Solanales; Solanaceae
Description: long non-coding RNA (NTAB_LNC014286)
Source: RNAcentral